Molecule: long non-coding RNA, 724 nt
Organism: Sarcophilus harrisii (Tasmanian devil)
Lineage: Eukaryota; Metazoa; Chordata; Mammalia; Dasyuromorphia; Dasyuridae
Exons: 3
Source: RefSeq, a predicted model, not a curated record
GCUUAGUUCAGUCUGUCAGCAAACGGAUGACUCAGAGUUAGAAAGAAGUGAUUAUCUGAGUCUUCAGAAACACCGGGCCUACAUGAGGGAACAUUAAUGACGAUAUGGAUGAAAAUGACGGGGGCUGAUGCUGGUUGCCAAAGGGAGGAGGCCUGAGGAGGAAAUGGGGAAAAAGUCAUGGAGACUAAUCGAGAAGGAUUAACAGGUGACAUCAUAUAACUUUGAAACUUUCAGUGAAAGGGUGAGGGGUUGGACCCCCUGGCCACAUGGCAGCUACUCCCAUGGAUGUCACAGACUCAACCAUGGGAGCAUGCACCUGGAGUCCCCGGCUGCCUCUUCAAUUUUUGUGGGGGAUCAAUUAUUAAGCAUAUAUUUACAAUAGGCCACACACAAUGCUGAGAAGAUUGAACCUAUCUUCAGAUGAACAUAUCCAACCUUGGAGAGGAUCAUAGGAGAUCAGAGAUCCAGAGGUCCAUCAAGUCAGUCAAGUAAAUGGGGGGAAUUUUUUUUUGGGGAAAAAAAUGUUCACCAGCAGAAGAUUAGCCCGGGAGCUGUUUGGACAGUGCAGAACCAAGGUGAAUUGUGGAACGUCCAGUCAGUAGGCUCAUAGAGUGCUUUAUGUUCUGAAAAGAUUUAAAUAUCUGUCCCAUGAGAUUUUGUAAUAGUUGUUGCAAGUUAAAUUCUUGGAUCCCCUUUUAAGUCAUCUUAUUAAUAAACAUUAUGA